This 93-nucleotide transfer RNA is filed under the name Yimella sp. RIT 621. RNAcentral describes it as "Dermacoccaceae bacterium RIT621 tRNA-Ser". It matches the Rfam family "tRNA". Rfam says of the family: Transfer RNA (tRNA) molecules are approximately 80 nucleotides in length. Their secondary structure includes four short double-helical elements and three loops (D, anti-codon, and T loops). The record is from RNAcentral. Lineage: Bacteria; Bacillati; Actinomycetota; Actinomycetes; Micrococcales; Dermacoccaceae.
GGAGGGCUCGCAUAGUGGCCUAGUGCGGCGGUCUUGAAAACCGCUAAGUCGGUAACCCCGGCUUCGUGGGUUCGAAUCCCACGCCCUCCGCCG